UGCGUAGGGUGCGAGCGUUAAUCGGAAUUACUGGGCGUAAAGCGUGCGCAGGCGGUUUUGUAAGCCAGAUGUGAAAUCCCCGGGCUUAACCUGGGAAUGGCAUUUGGGACUGCAAGGCUGGAGUGCGGCAGAGGAGACUGGAAUUCCUGGUGUAGCAGUGAAAUGCGUAGAUAUCAGGAGGAAUACCGAUGGCGAAGGCAGGUCUCUGGGCUGACACUGACGCUCAUGCACGAAAGCGUGGGGAGCAAACAGG
This 253-nucleotide ribosomal RNA is filed under the name uncultured bacterium. RNAcentral describes it as "partial 16S ribosomal RNA". It matches the Rfam family "Bacterial small subunit ribosomal RNA", at positions 524 to 776 of the family's 1533-position model. The record is from RNAcentral.